Molecule: long non-coding RNA, 576 nt
Filed under: Pan troglodytes (chimpanzee)
Lineage: Eukaryota; Metazoa; Chordata; Mammalia; Primates; Hominidae
Description: long non-coding RNA NONPTRT006214
Source: RNAcentral
GGCCUCAUGACACAGUCACCAGUUUGAGAUUUUGUCUAUGCCAGCACUAGGCUGCCAGACUUCAAACUCCUUCACCUUCUACUGCAAUUCCAGCUCCCUGACAAUGGCAAGAUUCAUGGCUGGGACAGAAUAACCAGCAUGGAAUGCCGGGAAACUCAGAACCGCACGUGCUGCAAAUGCACGGAAGCAGGGCUCAUUGCCACUGGGCUCAAAAUACUUCCGGGGGACAUGAAACUCUCCCACUGGUCUGGGUAAUUCUCCCCCUUCCUCCACACUUCCACUGCAAACAGGAGACAGUGCGGCCAGCAAGUACCAGCUCUGCAGAGAAAACUCCACCUGGCCCCUGUUCAUGCCCAAGAUAUUUAUUCACUUAUUCAACAGCCAUUUGGGAAGCCACUGCUUCAGAACGCUGACUGCGUGGUGGGGGACACGAAGCCAGGUCCUCAGCUGCUUGGUACUGGCUUUCCCUGCCUGAUCCAGGGGUCUUUUCAGGCAGGAGUUUCCUUGAAGGGAAGUGAUGGCCCCAAGCCUCUUAAUCAGAAGCCCAGGUAGGGAGCUUCUCUCUCUGGGGUAGAC